CGCGUAGGCGGCCUUCUAAGUCAGACGUGAAAUCCCCCGGCUUAACCUGGGAACUGCGUCUGAUACUGGGAGGCUUGAGUGCGGGAGAGGGAUGCGGAAUUCCAGGUGUAGCGGUGAAAUGCGUAGAUAUCUGGAGGAACACCGGUGGCGAAGGCGGCAUCCUGGACCGACACUGACGCUGAGGCGCGAAAGCUAGGUAGCAAACG
RNAcentral lists this ribosomal RNA (206 nucleotides) under uncultured bacterium. RNAcentral describes it as "partial 16S ribosomal RNA". It matches the Rfam family "Bacterial small subunit ribosomal RNA", at positions 568 to 774 of the family's 1533-position model. The record is from RNAcentral.